GGGUCAGUAGGUCGGUCGUGCCACCGGUACGUACUGGUCUCACUGAUUCCUCCUUCCUGAAGAACCGUAAUGCCAUUAAUUUGGUGUUGCGGGGAAACAGGACUGUUACUUUGAAAAAAUAGAGUGUUUAAAGCAAGCUAACGCUUGAAUACAUUAGCAUGGAAUAAUGAAAUAGGACGAUCGACCCUAUUUUGUUGGUUUCUAGGAUUGACGUA
Molecule: ribosomal RNA, 215 nt
Filed under: Glomeromycotina sp.
Lineage: Eukaryota; Fungi; Glomeromycota
Description: partial small subunit ribosomal RNA
Rfam family: Eukaryotic small subunit ribosomal RNA (bases 40-215)
Source: RNAcentral